UCCUACGGGAGGCAGCAGUGGGGAAUAUUGCACAAUGGGCGAAAGCCUGAUGCAGCGACGCCGCGUGAGGGAUGACGGCCUUCGGGUUGUAAACCUCUUUCAGUAGGGAAGAAGCGUAAGUGACGGUACCUGCAGAAGAAGCGCCGGCUAACUACGUGCCAGCAGCCGCGGUAAUACGUAGGGCGCAAGCGUUAUCCGGAAUUAUUGGGCGUAAAGAGCUCGUAGGCGGUUUGUCG
Molecule: ribosomal RNA, 236 nt
Filed under: uncultured bacterium
Lineage: Bacteria
Description: partial 16S ribosomal RNA
Rfam family: Bacterial small subunit ribosomal RNA
Source: RNAcentral